CGUAUGUUUUUUCUUUUUAAUGUCUACUAUAAUCAUAUUUUUUACACCAUUUUUCAUUAUAUUAUACUCUCUUUUUUAACAGUCAUUAUAUUAUCAAUACCCUUUUAUAGAUUAUGCAAUCUUGUUAAUAAAUAGCUUAAUUAAGCAAUUAUAUCAUAGUAAAACAAAGUCAAAUUCUUUGCAUAUAUAUAAAGCUAUAAGGUGUUGUGAUAAGUUAUUUCAUAAGUUGUUUUCAUUUUUUUUUUCAACAAUGUCACAAAUACUUACAUCAGUAGAUAAAUUCAAAUAAGUCAAUUCAAGUCUUAUCAAUACAACAAGGUAAACAUGUCAAUAUACACUAUUUUUUGUUAUUUUAUUUUUCAAACUACAUAAGUAUUAUGAAAUGAUAUAGUAUUAUGAUCAAGUGGUGUACAAAAAAACUUUUUUCUUUGGGUAUACCAUCAUUAAUUCUUUACCCUUGUUUUUUACUUUAUACUAUAAUAGAACUAUACUCAUUUAAUUUGAUCAUUAUUUUUUCUUUCUCAUGCUUGCUAGUAAAGUAAUAGACUGUGUGUGUUUUAGACUUUUAGCUAACUUUAGUAUUGAUUCUUCAAGGACAUAAUUUUUGACAUCUUGGA
This 617-nucleotide long non-coding RNA is filed under the name Trifolium pratense (red clover). Its description in RNAcentral is "long non-coding RNA (TPRA_LNC010191)". The record is from RNAcentral. Lineage: Eukaryota; Viridiplantae; Streptophyta; Magnoliopsida; Fabales; Fabaceae.